This 448-nucleotide ribosomal RNA is filed under the name uncultured bacterium. RNAcentral's name for it is "partial 16S ribosomal RNA". It matches the Rfam family "Bacterial small subunit ribosomal RNA", at positions 29 to 524 of the family's 1533-position model. The record is from RNAcentral.
AACGAACGCUGGCGGCAGGCCUAAAACAUGCAAGUCGAACGAACCGCAAGGUUAGUGGCGCACGGGUGAGUAACACGUGGGAAUGUGCCUCUGGGUACGGAACAAAGUCGGGAAACUGACGCUAAUACCGUAUAAUGUCUACGGACCAAAGAUUUAUCGCCCAGAGAUCAGCCCGCGUCUGAUUAGCUAGUUGGUGAGGUAACGGCUCACCAAGGCGACGAUCAGUAGCUGGUCUGAGAGGAUGAUCAGCCACACUGGAACUGAAACACGGUCCAUACUCCUACGGGAGGCAGGAGUUAGGAAUAUUGGACAAUGGGGGAAACCCUGAUCCAGCCAUGCCGCGUGUGUGAAGAAGGCCUUAGGGUUGUAAAGCACUUCCGGCUGUGAAGAUAAUGACAGUAGCAGAAGAAGAAGCUCCGGCUAAAUUCGUGCCAGCCGCCGCGGGUAA